RNAcentral lists this ribosomal RNA (480 nucleotides) under uncultured bacterium. RNAcentral's name for it is "partial 16S ribosomal RNA". It matches the Rfam family "Bacterial small subunit ribosomal RNA", at positions 28 to 507 of the family's 1533-position model. The record is from RNAcentral.
GAUGAACGCUAGCGGCAGGCCUAACACAUGCAAGUCGAGGGGUAGAAGGAGCUUGCUCCUUUGAGACCGGCGCACGGGUGCGUAACGCGUAUGCAAUCUACCUUGUACAGGGGAAUAGCCCAGAGAAAUUUGGAUUAAUGCCCCAUAGUAUAUAACCUUCGCAUGUUGGUUAUAUUAAAGUUCCAACGGUACAAGAUGAGCAUGCGUCCCAUUAGUUAGUUGGUAAGGUAACGGCUUACCAAGACGAUGAUGGGUAGGGGUCCUGAGAGGGAGCUCCCCCACACUGGUACUAAGACACGGACCAGACGCCGACGGGAGGCAGCAGUGAGGAAUAUUAGGCAAUGGUCGCAAGACUGAACCAGCCAUGCCGCGUGCAGGAAGACGGUCCUAUGGAUUGUAAACUGCUUUUAUACAGGAAGAAACCCUCCCACGUGUGGGAGCUUGACGGUACUGUAGGAAUAAGGAUCGGCUAACUCCGUG